UACGUAGGGGGCGAGCGUUGUCCGGAAUUAUUGGGCGUAAAGAGCUUGUAGGCGGCUUGUCACGUCUGCUGUGAAAUCACGGGGCUUAACCCCGGGCUUGCAGUGGGUACGGGCAGGAUAGAGUGUGGUAGGGGAGACUGGAAUUCCUGGUGUAGCGGUGGAAUGCGCAGAUAUCAGGAGGAACACCGAUAGCGAAGGCAGGUCUCUGGGCCAUUACUGACGCUGAGAAGCGAAAGCGUGGGGAGCGAACAGG
RNAcentral lists this ribosomal RNA (253 nucleotides) under uncultured bacterium. RNAcentral describes it as "partial 16S ribosomal RNA". It matches the Rfam family "Bacterial small subunit ribosomal RNA", at positions 524 to 776 of the family's 1533-position model. The record is from RNAcentral.